GACGUAGGGCGCGAGCGUUGUCCGGAUUUAUUGGGCGUAAAGAGCUCGUAGGCGGCUUGUCGCGUCGAAUGUGAAAACUCGGGGCUCAACCCCGCGCUUGCAUUCGAUACGGGCAGGCUCGAGUUCGGUAGGGGAGACUGGAAUUCCUGGUGUAGCGGUGAAAUACGCAGAUAUCAGGAGGAACACCGGUGGCGAAGGCGGGUCUCUGGGCCGAUACUGACGCUGAGGAGCGAAAGCGUGGGGAGCGAACAGG
This 253-nucleotide ribosomal RNA is filed under the name uncultured bacterium. RNAcentral describes it as "partial 16S ribosomal RNA". It matches the Rfam family "Bacterial small subunit ribosomal RNA", at positions 524 to 776 of the family's 1533-position model. The record is from RNAcentral.